CGUCUACUCCCUCCGUCCCAUAUUAAGUGACUCAAAUUUGUUCAAAUAUGGAUGUAUCUAUAUACAAAAAGUGUCUAGAUACAUGUAAUAAUAUGUCACUUAAUAUGGGACGGAGGGAGUAUUUG
Molecule: non-coding RNA, 125 nt
Organism: Brachypodium distachyon (stiff brome)
Lineage: Eukaryota; Viridiplantae; Streptophyta; Magnoliopsida; Poales; Poaceae
Source: Rfam